This 4253-nucleotide long non-coding RNA is filed under the name Salmo salar (Atlantic salmon). Its description in RNAcentral is "lncRNA (ENSSSAG00000096682.1)". Lineage: Eukaryota; Metazoa; Chordata; Actinopteri; Salmoniformes; Salmonidae. The record is from RNAcentral.
UAUAUCUCUCUCUCUCUCACUGUCUCUCUCUGUAUCUCUCUCACUGUCUCUCUCACUGUCUCUCUCUCUCUCACACUCACUCUGUUCCCGCCUAGAAAAUAUUACUCUCUAUAUCUGUCUCUCUCUCACUGUCUCUCUCUGUAUCUCUCUCACUGUCUCUCUCACUGUCUCUCUCUCUCUCACACUCACUCUGUUCCCGCCUAGAAAAUAUUACUCUCUAUAUCUGUCUCUCUCUCACUGUCUCUCUCUCACUGUCUCUCUCACUGUCUCUCUCUCUCUCUCUCUGUCGCUCACACUUACACUGUUCCUGCCUAGAAAAUAUUACUCUCUCUAUAUCUGUCUCUCUCUCUAUAUCUGUCUCUCUCUCUCUCUCUGUCUCUCUCUCUGUCUCUCACACUCACUCUGUUCCUGCCUAGAAAAUAUUACUCUCUAUAUCUCUCUCUCUCUCUCACUGUCUCUCUCUCUCUGUAUCUCUCUCACUGUCUCUCUCUCUGUCUCUCACACUCAGUCUGUUCCCGCCUAGAAAAUAUUACUCUCUAUAUCUCUCUCUCUCUCUCACUGUCUCUCUCUCUCUCUCUGUAUCUCUCUCACUGUCUCUCUCUCUGUCUCUCACACUCUCUGUUCCCGCCUAGAAAAUAUUACUCUCUAUAUCUCUCUCUCUCUCUCACUGUCUCUCUCUCUCUCUCUGUAUCUCUCUCACUGUCUCUCUCUCUGUCUCUCACACUCACACUGUUCCUGCCUAGAAAAUAUUACUCUCUAUAUAUCUCUCUCUCUCUCUCUCUCUCUCACUGUCUCUCUCACUGUCUCUCUCACUGUCUCUCUCUCUGUAUCUCUCUCUAUAUAUCUCAGACACACAGACUCACAUUGUUCCCGCCUAGAAAACAUUACUCUCUAUAUCUGUCUCUCUCUCACUGUCUCUCUCACUGUCUCUCUCACUGUCUCUCACACUCACACUGUUCCCGCCUAGAAAAUAUUACUCUCUAUAUCUGUCUCUCUCUCACUGUCUCUCUCUCUGUAUCUCUCUCUAUAUAUCUCAGACACACACAGACUCACAUUGUUCCCGCCUAGAAAACAUUACUCUCUCUCUCGGAAGACACACACUGUUAGGGUAAUGAUGAUGUUGAUGUGAGUUAGGGUAAUGUUAGGGUAAUGUUAGGGUAAUGUUAGGGUAAUGGUUGAUGUGAGUUAGGGUAAUGUUAGGGCAAUGAUAAUGUGAGUUAGGGUAAUGGUGGUAGAAGUCGUAGAGGGGGGAGUAUUGAGAGAUGGUUUAGAGAGGGUAAUGUUAGGGUAAUGGAUGCUGGGUGUUGUGUAGGUCGUUGCUCGGGUCGUUUUUUUGAUCCUCAGGGUUUGGCAAAGGUCAAAGGUUUGCUGCCGCAACAAAGCCAAAGGCAUCAUGGGAAAAUAUCUGACUUGCACUGAAACAGGAAAAAAUGUUGAGGAGAAAAACGUUAUCGUGAACAUUUAUAGUCUCUGAUCAGUUUAAUAUAAACAAAAAGGAACACUUUUCACUUCAUACAAGUUUGUAGCCUAUCGGUCUUUGUUUGAGAGACUGUGUUUGAACUGAACCAGCGUUAUUGAUCACCGGGUGACUGAACCAGCGUUAUUGAUCACCGGGAGACUGAACCAGAGUUAUUGAUCACCGGGAGACUGUGUUUGAACUGAACCAGAGUUAUUGAUCACCAGGAGACUGUGUUUGAACUGAACCAGAGUUAUUGAUAACCGGGAGACUGUGUUUGAACUGAACCAGAGUUAUUGAUCACCGGGAGACUGAACCAGAGUUAUUGAUAACCGGGAGACUGUGUUUGAACUGAACCAGCGUUAUUGAUCACCGGGAGACUGUGUUUGAACUGAACCAGCGUUAUUGAUCACCGGGAGACUGUGUUUGAACUGAACCAGAGUUAUUGAUCACCAGGAGACUGUGUUUGAACUGAACCAGAGUUAUUGAUCACCGGGAGACUGUGUUUGAACUGAACCAGCGUUAUUGAUCACCGGGAGACUGUGUUUGAACUGAACCAGAGUUAUUGAUCACCGGGAGACUGAACCAGCGUUAUUGAUAACCGGGAGACUGUGUUUGAACUGAACCAGCGUUAUUGAUCACCGGGAGACUGUGUUUGAACUGAACCAGAGUUAUUGAUCACCGGGAGACUGAACCAGCGUUAUUGAUAACCGGGAGACUGUGUUUGAACUGAACCAGCGUUAUUGAUAACCAGGAGACUGUGUUUGAACUGAACCAGAGUUAUUGAUCACCGGGAGACUGAACCAGAGUUAUUGAUAACCAGGAGACUGUGUUUGAACUGAACCAGAGUUAUUGAUCACCGGGAGACUGUGUUUGAACUGAACCAGAGUUAUUGAUCACCGGGAGACUGUGUUUGAACUGAACCAGAGUUAUUGAUCACCAGGAGAGUGUGUUUGAACUGAACCAGAGUUAUUGAUCACCGGGAGACUGAACCAGAGUUAUUGAUCACCGGGAGACUGAACCAGCGUUAUUGAUCACCGGGAGACUGAACCAGAGUUAUUGAUCACCGGGAGACUGUGUUUGAACUGAACCAGAGUUAUUGAUCACCGGGAGACUGAACCAGCGUUAUUGAUAACCGGGAGACUGAACCAGCGUUAUUGAUAACCGGGAGACUGUGUUUGAACUGAACCAGAGUUAUUGAUCACCAGGAGACUGUGUUUGAACUGAACCAGAGUUAUUGAUCACCGGGAGACUGAACCAGCGUUAUUGAUAACCGGGAGACUGUGUUUGAACUGAACCAGAGUUAUUGAUCACCAGGAGACUGAACCAGCGUUAUUGAUCACCGGGAGACUGAACCAGAGUUAUUGAUCACCGGGAGACUGUGUUUGAACUGAACCAGAGUUAUUGAUCACCGGGAGACUGAACCAGCGUUAUUGAUAACCGGGAGACUGUGUUUGAACUGAACCAGAGUUAUUGAUCACCAGGAGACUGUGUUUGAACUGAACCAGAGUUAUUGAUCACCGGGAGACUGAACCAGCGUUAUUGAUAACCGGGAGACUGUGUUUGAACUGAACCAGAGUUAUUGAUCACCGGGAGACUGAACCAGAGUUAUUGAUCACCGGGAGACUGAACCAGAGUUAUUGAUCACCGGGAGACUGUGUUUGAACUGAACCAGCGUUAUUGAUCACCAGGAGACUGUGUUUGAACUGAACCAGAGUUAUUGAUCACCGGGAGACUGUGUUUGAACUGAACCAGAGUUAUUGAUCACCGGGAGACUGUGUUUGAACUGAACCAGAGUUAUUGAUCACCAGGAGACUGAACCAGAGUUAUUGAUCACCGGGAGACUGUGUUUGAACUGAACCAGAGUUAUUGAUCACCGGGAGACUGUGUUUGAACUGAACCAGAGUUAUUGAUCACCGGGAGACUGUGUUUGAACUGAACCAGAGUUAUUGAUCACCAGGAGACUGUGUUUGAACUGAACCAGAGUUAUUGAUCACCAGGAGACUGAACCAGAGUUAUUGAUCACCGGGAGACUGUGUUUGAACUGAACCAGCGUUAUUGAUCACCGGGAGACUGUGUUUGAACUGAACCAGCGUUAUUGAUCACCGGGAGACUGAAGGAGUCACUGUGAGUGCAAUAAGCCCUGUCCACAACACACACAACUUAACUAGUCCACAUUCCCCAACUAACUUAACUAGUCAAUAGUCAAGAGGAAGGGGCUGGGGUCUAACCAGAGGAUUUUCUUUGGAAUAAAUUUGUCUACGUUAAAAGUUGUGUGUGUGUGUGAGCUGUCAUUGUGAAUAGUGUUAUCAGGGACGUCAUUCUGAAAGGACAAUCUCAGAGAUACCUUACGAGGUCAACAAUCAAUAAGUUUUUUUUUUUCUGACUGAAUUCAACCAUGAUAUUAUUCCGAUAUUAGUUAUUUAAAUCCUCCGCAUCCAGUCUGUUGUAGAAAAAAGGACAAAGCAUUCAUCUCCACAGCGGCGUACUUACACGGUGUGGCCACCAAUCAGGAAGGGUGGCGCCCCCCAAAAAAAGGAUCAAUCACGGUGAUUUAUUAAAUCGUUUUCUGUGACUCUGCUGUUUUUUAAUGUGAUGAUUGAUUACUGAAGUCAUGAGUUUAGUAACUGAAAUGGAAAUACGUGAUUACAUUUAUUAUUUUUUUUGGGGGGGGGGGGGUCCAACUAUCGAUAUCCUACAUAUCCAUCGAUCAUCAAUAAUAUCCAUUUAGUUAGUGCAUGACUAAUUUAUUGGAUUAUAAAUAUAUUAUUUCUUUGAGUAAUAAAACACCUGGGGG